This is a non-coding RNA of Ameiurus melas (black bullhead), 72 nucleotides long. Lineage: Eukaryota; Metazoa; Chordata; Actinopteri; Siluriformes; Ictaluridae. The record is from the annotation of a GenBank genome assembly.
GCACCGUGGUUUAGUGGUUAGCAUGUUCACCUCAUACCACCAGGGUUGGGGGUUCGAUUCCCACCGCUGGCC